This 540-nucleotide ribosomal RNA is filed under the name uncultured Anaplasma sp. RNAcentral describes it as "bacterial SSU rRNA". It matches the Rfam family "Bacterial small subunit ribosomal RNA", at positions 898 to 1435 of the family's 1533-position model. Lineage: Bacteria; Pseudomonadati; Pseudomonadota; Alphaproteobacteria; Rickettsiales; Anaplasmataceae. The record is from RNAcentral.
AACUCAAAGGAAUUGACGGGGACCCGCACAAGCGGUGGAGCAUGUGGUUUAAUUCGAUGCAACGCGAAAAACCUUACCACUCCUUGACAUGGAGAUUAGAUCCUUCUUAACGGAAGGGCGCAGUUCGGCUGGAUCUCGCACAGGUGCUGCAUGGCUGUCGUCAGCUCGUGUCGUGAGAUGUUGGGUUAAGUCCCGCAACGAGCGUAACCCUCAUCCUUAGUUGCCAGCGGGUAAUGCCGGGCACUUUAAGGAAACUGCCGGUGGUAAACUGGAGGAAGGUGGGGAUGAUGUCAAGUCAGCACGGCCCUUAUGGGGUGGGCUACACACGUGCUACAAUGGUGACUACAAUAGGUUGCAAUGUCGCAAGGCUGAGCUAAUCCGUAAAAGUCAUCUCAGUUCGGAUUGUCCUCUGCAACUCGAGGGCAUGAAGUCGGAAUCGCUAGUAAUCGUGGAUCACCAUGCCACGGUGAAUACGUUCUCGGGUCUUGUACACACUGCCCGUCACGCCAUGGGAAUUGGCUUAACUCGAAGCUGGUGCGC